Molecule: ribosomal RNA, 253 nt
Filed under: uncultured bacterium
Lineage: Bacteria
Description: partial 16S ribosomal RNA
Rfam family: Bacterial small subunit ribosomal RNA
Source: RNAcentral
UACGAAGGGGGCUAGCGUUGUUCGGAAUUACUGGGCGUAAAGAGUGUGUAGGCGGUGCUCCCAGUCUGUUGUGAAAUCUCCCGGCUUAACUGGGAGGGUGCAGCGGAAACUAGAGUGCUAGAGGGUGGGAGAGGUAAGCGGAAUUCCUGGUGUAGCGGUGAAAUGCGUAGAUAUCAGGAGGAACACCGGUGGCGAAGGCGGGUCUCUGGGCCGAUACUGACGCUGAGGAGCGAAAGCGUGGGGAGCGAACAGG